This 30-nucleotide non-coding RNA is filed under the name Rattus norvegicus (Norway rat). Lineage: Eukaryota; Metazoa; Chordata; Mammalia; Rodentia; Muridae. The record is from RNAcentral.
UAUGAUGUUAGUCACAUGAUACUCUUCUCC